GGCUUCCCUCGCGGAGGAGGCCACCGCGCCGCUCGGACUACGGUCUCAGCCGCGACCCUAGGACGACCCCGGCGCGCCCAUGGCCGCGCAAUCGCCGCAGCCGGGAUCCUUCUAGACGCUGCCCCCAACAGCCGGUUAGAGCGUGAGCCGCAGAACAGGAGCCUAUCUUCCAGAGAGGAUGUCGCCCAACCCAACCUAAACAAUAACGUAGCUUUGGAGAAGAGAGACAGCACGCUGAGGUCAUUUCCCACAACGUCUGUACCAUAUUUUUAAACUGCCAUGCAGAUGCUUAAGCCAUUUUAAGAUCCUAGUCCCCGGCAGGACGUGGUGACUCACAUCUAUAAUUCCAGCGCUCUUGUGACUGAGGCAGGAGGAUCCGGAGUUGGAGAUCAGCCUGUCUACCUUGUGAGACUCCAUCUCAACACGCGCGCGCGCACAUACACACACACUCAGGCUGGGUAAAUAACAACCUGGGUAAUUGACCCUUAGCUUCUAUCCUACCCUCCAAUAAUCUUCCAAAACCCUUGUAAUGACUUCUCUUACUUUCUUAGCAGGGUUGGUUGUACUUGGGGUGAGGAGUAGUUAUGCUUCCUGGUUCAUUCUUUCCAGUAUCUAAGAACCCUGGGUCCCACUUAUUUAAUGAAUGAAAGAAUGAUGAUAAUCUAGAUAAUAUCAGGUUGGUGCUACUGGGAAAAUAUCGAACUUUGGUAUCUGUAAUGUUUAUGGACAUUCGAUGUUAUGCAAUAAUUGCUUCUUUUAUAGAGUAUACUCAAAAAUACUUUACUGAGUAUUUCUAUUUUUGUUGGUGUCUUCUUGCAGUAUGUUAGAUUCUAAGCUAGUCAAACAAAUACAGCAGAAAACGAA
Grammomys surdaster is the source of this 864-nucleotide long non-coding RNA. RefSeq lists it as uncharacterized. The record is from RefSeq and is a predicted model, not a curated record. The transcript has 2 exons. NCBI's taxonomy places the organism in Eukaryota, Metazoa, Chordata, Mammalia, Rodentia, Muridae.